UAUAUUCCAACGAACGGAUGAGUAAAUCGGGAUGACCUUUACAGAGAGCCGGUGUAAGCUGAAAGCCGGUAUGGACACCUUGUUGAAGAUGGUCCGGGAGGAACUGUAUUCGAGCCGUAGACUGAAGUUAGCAGUCUCGUGUAAGAUAACGGCGUGUUCCAGCGUUAAUGGGCAGUUCUUAUGAACUGGUGAAGCCUGAUCUCUGCGAAGAGACAGGGAAUUUUGGGUGGUAACGCGUGAGUUUACUCUCGCCCCAUAU
This 259-nucleotide non-coding RNA is filed under the name Paenibacillus wynnii. Its description in RNAcentral is "T-box sequence". It matches the Rfam family "T-box leader". Rfam says of the family: Uncharged tRNA acts as the effector for transcription antitermination of genes in the T-box leader family. T-boxes are found upstream of many aminoacyl-tRNA synthetase genes and some amino acid biosynthetic genes usually in Gram-positive bacteria. Lineage: Bacteria; Bacillati; Bacillota; Bacilli; Caryophanales; Paenibacillaceae. The record is from RNAcentral.